RNAcentral lists this ribosomal RNA (1275 nucleotides) under Staphylococcus aureus. RNAcentral describes it as "bacterial SSU rRNA". It matches the Rfam family "Bacterial small subunit ribosomal RNA", at positions 1 to 1257 of the family's 1533-position model. The record is from RNAcentral. Lineage: Bacteria; Bacillati; Bacillota; Bacilli; Caryophanales; Staphylococcaceae.
UUUAUGGAGAGUUUGAUCCUGGCUCAGGAUGAACGCUGGCGGCGUGCCUAAUACAUGCAAGUCGAGCGAACGGACGAGAAGCUUGCUUCUCUGAUGUUAGCGGCGGACGGGUGAGUAACACGUGGAUAACCUACCUAUAAGACUGGGAUAACUUCGGGAAACCGGAGCUAAUACCGGAUAAUAUUUUGAACCGCAUGGUUCAAAAGUGAAAGACGGUCUUGCUGUCACUUAUAGAUGGAUCCGCGCUGCAUUAGCUAGUUGGUAAGGUAACGGCUUACCAAGGCAACGAUGCAUAGCCGACCUGAGAGGGUGAUCGGCCACACUGGAACUGAGACACGGUCCAGACUCCUACGGGAGGCAGCAGUAGGGAAUCUUCCGCAAUGGGCGAAAGCCUGACGGAGCAACGCCGCGUGAGUGAUGAAGGUCUUCGGAUCGUAAAACUCUGUUAUUAGGGAAGAACAUAUGUGUAAGUAACUGUGCACAUCUUGACGGUACCUAAUCAGAAAGCCACGGCUAACUACGUGCCAGCAGCCGCGGUAAUACGUAGGUGGCAAGCGUUAUCCGGAAUUAUUGGGCGUAAAGCGCGCGUAGGCGGUUUUUUAAGUCUGAUGUGAAAGCCCACGGCUCAACCGUGGAGGGUCAUUGGAAACUGGAAAACUUGAGUGCAGAAGAGGAAAGUGGAAUUCCAUGUGUAGCGGUGAAAUGCGCAGAGAUAUGGAGGAACACCAGUGGCGAAGGCGACUUUCUGGUCUGUAACUGACGCUGAUGUGCGAAAGCGUGGGGAUCAAACAGGAUUAGAUACCCUGGUAGUCCACGCCGUAAACGAUGAGUGCUAAGUGUUAGGGGGUUUCCGCCCCUUAGUGCUGCAGCUAACGCAUUAAGCACUCCGCCUGGGGAGUACGACCGCAAGGUUGAAACUCAAAGGAAUUGACGGGGACCCGCACAAGCGGUGGAGCAUGUGGUUUAAUUCGAAGCAACGCGAAGAACCUUACCAAAUCUUGACAUCCUUUGACAACUCUAGAGAUAGAGCUUUCCCCUUCGGGGGACAAAGUGACAGGUGGUGCAUGGUUGUCGUCAGCUCGUGUCGUGAGAUGUUGGGUUAAGUCCCGCAACGAGCGCAACCCUUAAGCUUAGUUGCCAUCAUUAAGUUGGGCACUCUAAGUUGACUGCCGGUGACAAACCGGAGGAAGGUGGGGAUGACGUCAAAUCAUCAUGCCCCUUAUGAUUUGGGCUACACACGUGCUACAAUGGACAAUACAAAGGGCAGCGAAACCG